UAAAUAAAAGAAAGUUUACACAUCGAUGUUCUUAUCGAUUCAAUUUUAGAUGAUAUAAAAGGAAAAGAAUGAGGAAUAGAAAGAGGAUGUUAGAGCACGGAUGAGUCGAAGAAGAGUCUGACCACAUAUAGAAGAAAAGAUAUUGGCUAUAUGCAUGAAUACAGUGUGUCUUCUUUGAGACAAGGCAAACAAUCAACGAUGACAAACAAUCAUAAAGGGAAUAAGAAUUCAAUUUUCUUCAGACUUCAGCCAGAAUUGAAGAUUUUUGAUGAAGAUGACGAAGGAUAAAGAUCAAUUAUCAUUUCAUUGGAACUUCGAAGACAAGAUGGCUUGAAAAAUAUGAUAUAAAAGGAAAAGAAUGAGGAAUAGAAAGAGGAUGUUAGAGCACGGAUGAGUCGAAGAAGAGUCUGACCACAUAUAGAAGAAAAGAUAUUGGCUAUAUGCAUGAAUACAGUGUGUCUUCUUUGAGACAAGGCAAACAAUCAACGAUGACAAACAAUCAUAAAGGGAAUAAGAAUUCAAUUUUCUUCAGACUUCAGCCAGAAUUGAAGAUUUUUGAUGAAGAUGACGAAGGAUAAAGAUCAAUUAUCAUUUCAUUGGAACUUCGAAGACAAGAUGGCUUGAAAAAUAUGAUAUAAAAGGAAAAGAAUGAGGAAUAGAAAGAGGAUGUUAGAGCACGGAUGAGUCGAAGAAGAGUCUGACCACAUAUAGAAGAAAAGAUAUUGGCUAUAUGCAUGAAUACAGUGUGUCUUCUUUGAGACAAGGCAAACAAUCAACGAUGACAAACAAUCAUAAAGGGAAUAAGAAUUCAAUUUUCUUCAGACUUCAGCCAGAAUUGAAGAUUUUUGAUGAAGAUGACGAAGGAUAAAGAUCAAUUAUCAUUUCAUUGGAACUUCGAAGACAAGAUGGCUUGAAAAAUAUGAUAUAAAAGGAAAAGAAUGAGGAAUAGAAAGAGGAUGUUAGAGCACGGAUGAGUCGAAGAAGAGUCUGACCACAUAUAGAAGAAAAGAUAUUGGCUAUAUGCAUGAAUACAGUGUGUCUUCUUUGAGACAAGGCAAACAAUCAACGAUGACAAACAAUCAUAAAGGGAAUAAGAAUUCAAUUUUCUUCAGACUUCAGCCAGAAUUGAAGAUUUUUGAUGAAGAUGACGAAGGAUAAAGAUCAAUUAUCAUUUCAUUGGAACUUCGAAGACAAGAUGGCUUGAAAAAUAAAAUUGGUGGUUCGUUAUUGUAUUAUAUUCUGUAUGUUCAAUUUGUCGAAUUGUUGUUGAGCAUAUUCUCUUUCUGUUUUGAAAUUCGAUACAUCGAAUUAGUUACGCUAAAUUUCAUUCUACUGUUGACAUUCGUGACGAUUAGAAUUUCUUCAAGUGUGCUUUAUCUAUUUGGUUGGAAAAAAUUUUCAAUAUGGAUGUCAUGAUAUAUUUUACAUAAAGAAAAAAAAAAUAUAAAUAAAUAUUUAAAAUAUAAAUAAUAUAAAUAAAUAAAUAUUUUUAUUGUAAAAAAUGAUGAUAUAAAAGGAAAAGAAUGAGGAAUAGAAAGAGGAUGUUAGAGCACGGAUGAGUCGAAGAAGAGUCUGACCACAUAUAGAAGAAAAGAUAUUGGCUAUAUGCAUGAAUACAGUGUGUCUUCUUUGAGACAAGGCAAACAAUCAACGAUGACAAACAAUCAUAAAGGGAAUAAGAAUUCAAUUUUCUUCAGACUUCAGCCAGAAUUGAAGAUUUUUGAUGAAGAUGACGAAGGAUAAAGAUCAAUUAUCAUUUCAUUGGAACUUCGAAGACAAGAUGGCUUGAAAAAUAUGAUAUAAAAGGAAAAGAAUGAGGAAUAGAAAGAGGAUGUUAGAGCACGGAUGAGUCGAAGAAGAGUCUGACCACAUAUAGAAGAAAAGAUAUUGGCUAUAUGCAUGAAUACAGUGUGUCUUCUUUGAGACAAGGCAAACAAUCAACGAUGACAAACAAUCAUAAAGGGAAUAAGAAUUCAAUUUUCUUCAGACUUCAGCCAGAAUUGAAGAUUUUUGAUGAAGAUGACGAAGGAUAAAGAUCAAUUAUCAUUUCAUUGGAACUUCGAAGACAAGAUGGCUUGAAAAAUAUGAUAUAAAAGGAAAAGAAUGAGGAAUAGAAAGAGGAUGUUAGAGCACGGAUGAGUCGAAGAAGAGUCUGACCACAUAUAGAAGAAAAGAUAUUGGCUAUAUGCAUGAAUACAGUGUGUCUUCUUUGAGACAAGGCAAACAAUCAACGAUGACAAACAAUCAUAAAGGGAAUAAGAAUUCAAUUUUCUUCAGACUUCAGCCAGAAUUGAAGAUUUUUGAUGAAGAUGACGAAGGAUAAAGAUCAAUUAUCAUUUCAUUGGAACUUCGAAGACAAGAUGGCUUGAAAAAUAUGAUAUAAAAGGAAAAGAAUGAGGAAUAGAAAGAGGAUGUUAGAGCACGGAUGAGUCGAAGAAGAGUCUGACCACAUAUAGAAGAAAAGAUAUUGGCUAUAUGCAUGAAUACAGUGUGUCUUCUUUGAGACAAGGCAAACAAUCAACGAUGACAAACAAUCAUAAAGGGAAUAAGAAUUCAAUUUUCUUCAGACUUCAGCCAGAAUUGAAGAUUUUUGAUGAAGAUGACGAAGGAUAAAGAUCAAUUAUCAUUUCAUUGGAACUUCGAAGACAAGAUGGCUUGAAAAAUAAAAUUGGUGGUUCGUUAUUGUAUUAUAUUCUGUAUGUUCAAUUUGUCGAAUUGUUGUUGAGCAUAUUCUCUUUCUGUUUUGAAAUUCGAUACAUCGAAUUAGUUACGCUAAAUUUCAUUCUACUGUUGACAUUCGUGACGAUUAGAAUUUCUUCAAGUGUGCUUUAUCUAUUUGGUUGGAAAAAAUUUUCAAUAUGGAUGUCAUGAUAUAUUUUACAUAAAGAAAAAAAAAAUAUAAAUAAAUAUUUAAAAUAUAAAUAAUAUAAAUAAAUAAAUAUUUUUAUUGUAAAAAAUGUUCUCAUCGAGUAAAUCCCAUGAACCAUAAUGUCAUUGAUGGCAGAUUCUACGCAUCUAAUGGUGAGUCGCAUGUAUUUUUGUUAUUCCGAUCAUUCAAUCAUGUCGUAGGAUGAGAGAUCCAAAUCGAUAUGAAUGUUAUAUAUGUAGAAUUUUGCACAAAUACAGUGAUCAUGGGUAUUUAUUAUACCCAUGAGUAGUAACAGUUUCUUUUUAUUAUUAGCUCAGGUUAGGUCUUUUUAUGUAUUUUCGAAUAUUAAUAAUUUUUCAAAUUGUUUGAUAUUAAAUUAUUGUUAUCUUUAAUUAAACAUUAAGAUUAUUAAGAAUAAUCUUAAUUAAAUGUCAAAUAUUUAAAUAAUAUGCAUUUAUAUUAUAAAUUAGACGAUUUAGAUAUAUAUUAUA
Molecule: long non-coding RNA, 3360 nt
Organism: Apis cerana (Asiatic honeybee)
Lineage: Eukaryota; Metazoa; Arthropoda; Insecta; Hymenoptera; Apidae
Source: RefSeq, a predicted model, not a curated record